Molecule: ribosomal RNA, 25 nt
Filed under: Leishmania tropica
Lineage: Eukaryota; Euglenozoa; Kinetoplastea; Trypanosomatida; Trypanosomatidae
Description: partial 5.8S ribosomal RNA
Source: RNAcentral
AACGUGUCGCGAUGGAAUGACUUGG